AAAAAAAAUUGUAACUGUCAAAACACCUCAUUACUCAUUUUCUGGACAUCAACUAUCCAGCUACACAGACUAUCAACACAGUUUCAACAGGUUCUUUUUUGUGUGACAAGCUCUGUUCGGUUAAGGAUACUCUCUUCUCCACUAAGUAAUAGAGAUGCAUCAUAUUCACAACCUCAUCAUCUGCAGAGAAACUGCCACUCAAUCACACCACAUUGAUGGGCUUAAAGGCAUCACAGAGGAUCCUGAAGAUAUAUUAUUCCUGGAAAUUUUGUCAUUUAUUUUCUAUUUCUAUUUUUACUUUCUGAUGUUUUUUUUUUCAUGUUCAUUGUCAACUGUCAUUUAUUAUUUGUAUUUAGCCAAUAACUGUUUUUAGAGCAUUUUCAUUUUUGCUUCAAGUUCAUGUCAAUUAAAAAAAUAAAAGUACCUAACUGAAACUACAUGCUGUUUUGUUUAGUUUUUGUGUGAGUGUGUAAAACCCUAAUACAGGCUAAAAUACAUUAUAGGAAAAACAAAAAUGUUAAUAGAUAAUAUAUGUAAAUAAUAUUAAUAAGUAAAACUAGUA
Labeo rohita (rohu) is the source of this 562-nucleotide long non-coding RNA. RefSeq lists it as uncharacterized. The transcript has 3 exons. The record is from RefSeq and is a predicted model, not a curated record. NCBI's taxonomy places the organism in Eukaryota, Metazoa, Chordata, Actinopteri, Cypriniformes, Cyprinidae.